Molecule: ribosomal RNA, 477 nt
Filed under: uncultured bacterium
Lineage: Bacteria
Description: bacterial SSU rRNA
Rfam family: Bacterial small subunit ribosomal RNA
Source: RNAcentral
GAACGCUAGGCGGCAGGCUUAACACAUGCAAGUCGAGGGGUAUAGUUCUUCGGAAUUAGAGACCGGCGCACGGGUGCGUAACGCGUAUGCAAUCUACCUUUCACAGAGGGAUAGCCCAGAGAAAUUUGGAUUAAUACCUCAUAGUAUAGCAGUUUCGCAUGAAACCACUAUUAAAGUCACAACGGUGAAAGAUGAGCAUGCGUCCCAUUAGCUAGUUGGUAAGGUAACGGCUUACCAAGGCAACGAUGGGUAGGGGGUCCUGAGAGGGAGAUCCCCCACACUGGUACUGAGACACGGACCAGACUCCUACGGGAGGCAGCAGUGAGGAAUAUUGGACAAUGGGCGCAAGCCUGAUCCAGCCAUGCCGCGUGCAGGAUGACGGUCCUAUGGAUUGUAAACUGCUUUUAUACAGGAAGAAACACUACUUCGUGAAGUAGCUUGACGGUACUGUAAGAAUAAGGAUCGGCUAACUCCGUG